CUUCGGCUGGAUCAUUA
Molecule: unclassified non-coding RNA, 17 nt
Filed under: Bursaphelenchus thailandae
Lineage: Eukaryota; Metazoa; Nematoda; Chromadorea; Rhabditida; Aphelenchoididae
Description: partial 18S ribosomal RNA
Source: RNAcentral